CCAUGCCGCGUGUGUGAAGAAGGCCUUCGGGUUGUAAAGCACUUUUGUCCGGAAAGAAAAGCUUCGGGUUAAUACCCCGGGGUCCUGACGGUACCGGAAGAAUAAGCACCGGCUAACUUCGUGCCAGCAGCCGCGGUAAUACGAAGGGUGCAAGCGUUACUCGGAAUUACUGGGCGUAAAGCGUGCGUAGGUGGUUUGUUAAGUCUGAUGUGAAAGCCCUGGGCUCAACCUGGGAAUGGCAUUGGAUACUGGCGAGCUAGAGUGCGGUAGAGGGUAGUGGAAUUCCCGGUGUAGCAGUGAAAUGCGUAGAGAUCGGGAGGAACAUCUGUGGCGAAGGCGACUACCUGGACCAGCACUGACACUGAGGCACGAAAGCGUGGGGAGCAAACAGGAUUAGAUACCCUGGUAGUCCACGCCCUAAACGAUGCGAACUGGAUGUUGGGAGCAAUUAGGCUCUCAGUAUCGAAGCUAACGCGUUAAGUUCGCCGCCUGGGGAGUACGGUCGCAAGACUG
This 513-nucleotide ribosomal RNA is filed under the name uncultured Pseudomonadota bacterium. RNAcentral's name for it is "bacterial SSU rRNA". It matches the Rfam family "Bacterial small subunit ribosomal RNA", at positions 392 to 896 of the family's 1533-position model. Lineage: Bacteria; Pseudomonadati; Pseudomonadota. The record is from RNAcentral.